RNAcentral lists this long non-coding RNA (666 nucleotides) under Homo sapiens (human). RNAcentral's name for it is "HSALNT0292763". The record is from RNAcentral. Lineage: Eukaryota; Metazoa; Chordata; Mammalia; Primates; Hominidae.
CAGAGAUCGGGAAUCCUCUCAGUCCUUAGUUACAAGGCUCCAUCCUCACUUUGUUCGCUCCUCAGUCGUCCAGGCGGAUUCCUUUUUCGCCAGGCACCAAGGCACAGCUUAGAGUAGACCCGAGUCCUGCUCUGCGGAGUUCGUCUUCCCAGCGAAGGUACAGAGGCGGAUGAACUGCUGAGACUUGACAGGGUCUGGCUCUGUCACCCAGGCUGGAGUGCAGUGGCACGAUCUUGGCUCACAACUACCUCCGCCUCCCCAGGCUUAAGCAAUCCUCCCACCUCAGCCUCCCAAGUAGCUGAAACUACAGGUGUGCGCCAUCACCCCCAGAUCAAAAGCUGAGUGAAGCAGUGGUCCAGCUGGAAUUCAACACCUGAGAUAUCUGACUCCAGAUACCAGCCCUUCCUUGCUUCCCACUAGCUGCCUAACCCAGAGAGGAGAUUGGGAAAAGAGAAACAAGUUACAGAAUUCAAGACCUCCACCCAGGAACUGACUCAGCGCAAGAAGACAGCUUCGACUCUGUAUGAGUUCAUCUCCAACCUGACCAAUCAGCACUCCCGGCUCACUGGCUUCCCCCCAUCCACCAAGUUGUCCUUAAAACUCUGCUCCCCGAAUGCUUGGGGAGACUUAUUUGAGUAAUAAUAAAACUCUGUUCUUCUGCACAGC